This 2520-nucleotide ribosomal RNA is filed under the name Salmonella enterica. RNAcentral describes it as "partial 23S ribosomal RNA". It matches the Rfam family "Bacterial large subunit ribosomal RNA", at positions 430 to 2925 of the family's 2925-position model. The record is from RNAcentral. Lineage: Bacteria; Pseudomonadati; Pseudomonadota; Gammaproteobacteria; Enterobacterales; Enterobacteriaceae.
UAUCCUGUCUGAAUAUGGGGGGACCAUCCUCCAAGGCUAAAUACUCCUGACUGACCGAUAGUGAACCAGUACCGUGAGGGAAAGGCGAAAAGAACCCCGGCGAGGGGAGUGAAAAAGAACCUGAAACCGUGUACGUACAAGCAGUGGGAGCACCCUUUGGGGUGUGACUGCGUACCUUUUGUAUAAUGGGUCAGCGACUUAUAUUCUGUAGCAAGGUUAACCGUAUAGGGGAGCCGGAGGGAAACCGAGUCUUAACCGGGCGUUAAGUUGCAGGGUAUAGACCCGAAACCCGGUGAUCUAGCCAUGGGCAGGUUGAAGGUUGGGUAACACUAACUGGAGGACCGAACCGACUAAUGUUGAAAAAUUAGCGGAUGACCUGUGGCUGGGGGUGAAAGGCCAAUCAAACCGGGAGAUAGCUGGUUCUCCCCGAAAGCUAUUUAGGUAGCGCCUCGUGAAUUCAUCUCCGGGGGUAGAGCACUGUUUCGGCUAGGGGGCCAUCCCGGCUUACCAACCCGAUGCAAACUGCGAAUACCGGAGAAUGUUAUCACGGGAGACACACGGCGGGUGCUAACGUCCGUCGUGAAGAGGGAAACAACCCAGACCGCCAGCUAAGGUCCCAAAGUCAUGGUUAAGUGGGAAACGAUGUGGGAAGGCCCAGACAGCCAGGAUGUUGGCUUAGAAGCAGCCAUCAUUUAAAGAAAGCGUAAUAGCUCACUGGUCGAGUCGGCCUGCGCGGAAGAUGUAACGGGGCUAAACCAUGCACCGAAGCUGCGGCAGCGACGCUGAUGCGUUGUUGGGUAGGGGAGCGUUCUGUAAGCCUGCGAAGGUGGCCUGUGAGGGUUGCUGGAGGUAUCAGAAGUGCGAAUGCUGACAUAAGUAACGAUAAAGCGGGUGAAAAGCCCGCUCGCCGGAAGACCAAGGGUUCCUGUCCAACGUUAAUCGGGGCAGGGUGAGUCGACCCCUAAGGCGAGGCCGAAAGGCGUAGUCGAUGGGAAACGGGUUAAUAUUCCCGUACUUGGUGUUACUGCGAAGGGGGGACGGAGAAGGCUAUGUUGGCCGGGCGACGGUUGUCCCGGUUUAAGCGUGUAGGUGUGUGUUCCAGGUAAAUCCGGUUCACUUUAACACUGAGGCGUGAUGACGAGGCACUACGGUGCUGAAGCAACAAAUGCCCUGCUUCCAGGAAAAGCCUCUAAGCAUCAGGUAACAUCAAAUCGUACCCCAAACCGACACAGGUGGUCAGGUAGAGAAUACCAAGGCGCUUGAGAGAACUCGGGUGAAGGAACUAGGCAAAAUGGUGCCGUAACUUCGGGAGAAGGCACGCUGACACGUAGGUGAAGUGAUUUACUCAUGGAGCUGAAGUCAGUCGAAGAUACCAGCUGGCUGCAACUGUUUAUUAAAAACACAGCACUGUGCAAACACGAAAGUGGACGUAUACGGUGUGACGCCUGCCCGGUGCCGGAAGGUUAAUUGAUGGGGUCAGCGCAAGCGAAGCUCCUGAUCGAAGCCCCGGUAAACGGCGGCCGUAACUAUAACGGUCCUAAGGUAGCGAAAUUCCUUGUCGGGUAAGUUCCGACCUGCACGAAUGGCGUAAUGAUGGCCAGGCUGUCUCCACCCGAGACUCAGUGAAAUUGAACUCGCUGUGAAGAUGCAGUGUACCCGCGGCAAGACGGAAAGACCCCGUGAACCUUUACUAUAGCUUGACACUGAACAUUGAGCCUUGAUGUGUAGGAUAGGUGGGAGGCUUUGAAGUGUGGACGCCAGUCUGCAUGGAGCCGACCUUGAAAUACCACCCUUUAAUGUUUGAUGUUCUAACGUGGACCCGUGAUCCGGGUUGCGGACAGUGUCUGGUGGGUAGUUUGACUGGGGCGGUCUCCUCCUAAAGAGUAACGGAGGAGCACGAAGGUUGGCUAAUCCUGGUCGGACAUCAGGAGGUUAGUGCAAUGGCAUAAGCCAGCUUGACUGCGAGCGUGACGGCGCGAGCAGGUGCGAAAGCAGGUCAUAGUGAUCCGGUGGUUCUGAAUGGAAGGGCCAUCGCUCAACGGAUAAAAGGUACUCCGGGGAUAACAGGCUGAUACCGCCCAAGAGUUCAUAUCGACGGCGGUGUUUGGCACCUCGAUGUCGGCUCAUCACAUCCUGGGGCUGAAGUAGGUCCCAAGGGUAUGGCUGUUCGCCAUUUAAAGUGGUACGCGAGCUGGGUUUAGAACGUCGUGAGACAGUUCGGUCCCUAUCUGCCGUGGGCGCUGGAGAACUGAGGGGGGCUGCUCCUAGUACGAGAGGACCGGAGUGGACGCAUCACUGGUGUUCGGGUUGUCAUGCCAAUGGCACUGCCCGGUAGCUAAAUGCGGAAGAGAUAAGUGCUGAAAGCAUCUAAGCACGAAACUUGCCCCGAGAUGAGUUCUCCCUGAGACUUUAGGUCUCCUGAAGGAACGUUGAAGACGACGACGUUGAUAGGCCGGGUGUGUAAGCGCAGCGAUGCGUUGAGCUAACCGGUACUAAUGAACCGUGAGGCUUAACCUUACA